AUGGCACUAGAAUCUGAUUCAAGGCAAUCUGAUUCAAGGCGCCCCUCGUCGAAAGUUAUUGCAAAAAUUAUUGCAAGGGUUGCAUGCAUUGAGAUACCGAGGAAUCAAUGGCAGGACCUCAUUCGCAAAUUAGUGGACAACAUGGCAAGGCCAUCUUCUUCACUAAAGGAAGCAACUCUAGAAGUUUUGGAGUAUGUCUUUGAGGGGUCCCCUUACCUUCUCAAGGGGGAUCAAGGGGGUCUUGUUAAGGCCAGUGUCAUAAGUGCAGUGAAGAACCAUGUAGGAGAGCUAAGUUCUCAAGUCCGUCUGGCAGUGGUUAAAGCUCUACUCAACGUUCUUUAG
Molecule: ribosomal RNA, 342 nt
Filed under: Triticum aestivum (bread wheat)
Lineage: Eukaryota; Viridiplantae; Streptophyta; Magnoliopsida; Poales; Poaceae
Description: partial small subunit ribosomal RNA
Source: RNAcentral